RNAcentral lists this ribosomal RNA (394 nucleotides) under uncultured bacterium. RNAcentral's name for it is "bacterial SSU rRNA". It matches the Rfam family "Bacterial small subunit ribosomal RNA", at positions 28 to 412 of the family's 1533-position model. The record is from RNAcentral.
GAUGAACGCUGGCGGCGUGCCUAACACAUGCAAGUCGAGCGGAGAUUCUGGAAGUAGCAAUACGACCGGGAUCUUAGCGGCGGACGGGUGAGUAACACGUGAAUAACCUGCCUUAUACUGGGGAAUAACACCGUGAAAAUGGUGCUAAUACCGCAUAAUGUUGUCUUAUGGCAUCAUAGGACAACCAAAGGAACAAUCCGGUAAAAGAUGGACUCGCGUCCGAUUAGCUAGUUGGUGAGAUAACGGCCACCAAGGCGACGAUCGGUAGCCGAACUGAGAGGUUGAUCGGCCACAUUGGGACUGAGACACGGCCCAGACUCCUACGGGAGGCAGCAGUGGGGAAUAUUGGGCAAUGGGCGAAAGCCUGACCCAGCAACGCCGCGUGAAGGAAGAA